RNAcentral lists this unclassified non-coding RNA (455 nucleotides) under Hevea brasiliensis (rubber tree). The record is from RNAcentral. Lineage: Eukaryota; Viridiplantae; Streptophyta; Magnoliopsida; Malpighiales; Euphorbiaceae.
AUCUGGGCCAUUGGUGGCUGUUGCUGCUGUUGUACCAUGGUUAUUGUUGAAGCUGGUACGAUGUUGGCCAUAUGUGAGGUUAGGGCCUCCUGUGGUGAUGCUAGACCACGUACGGUUUCAUCAAUUGGCGGUCUAAAAUAUGAUAUAUCAUAACCAGUCUGGGGAUCAUAUGCCGAAAAGCCAGGUAAUUCAGGAGGAUCUUGCCGCUGCUGUGAUUCUGAAGGCGUAUAAGAUGGACUAUUGUCUUGAGCUAAACCAAUAUCAGCAUAAUUGUCCAAAUUCGGAGGACUUGAAGACCUAUCAGGUAAUUGAUUCUCAGACUCUGCACCUGAUGCUGAAGAAUCAGAUCCAGAAUUUCUAACUUGUUCAUCUAGUAAUUCUACCAGCUUGUUGCCAGAGGCAUCAUCACUGAAAGACUCCGGUGCAGAUACUGACAAGCUUGCAGCAGAUUCUGC